This is a long non-coding RNA of Rosa chinensis, 420 nucleotides long. RefSeq lists it as uncharacterized. The record is from RefSeq and is a predicted model, not a curated record. Lineage: Eukaryota; Viridiplantae; Streptophyta; Magnoliopsida; Rosales; Rosaceae. The transcript is spliced from 2 exons.
UGUGACAGAGUAAAAGCAGGAUCUCCUUCAAUAUAUCUGACAGCUGUUAAGGUAAAUGAUCUAUAUCCUUAUUUCCUCCAUAUGUAUAUAUAUCUCAAUUAUCUUGAUCAAUUACAUUGUAUUGUCUCUCUCUGUAGAGUGUCACUGAUCAAAUUUCAAAAAGAGAGAUCGCAAAAGCUCUGUCUAUAUCCAAUAAUUACAUAGAAAUUGAAGAUGGUAUUUUGAUAGAUUUUCCGGGUUUGAGCCUUCAUGCAGCUGUAAUGUUUUGUUGCUUUUUUUUUUCCUUCACUCGGUUGAAUCAGACUUCAAACUUAAUUUUUUGUUAUAAUGUUGAAACCAGCUGUAAUGGAUUUUGGUAUGAGGAAGGGUGUAAUGGAUUCAGUACCUGUAUGUUUUGGCUUUGGCUUUUGUGAAUUCUUA